RNAcentral lists this ribosomal RNA (1124 nucleotides) under uncultured microorganism. RNAcentral's name for it is "bacterial SSU rRNA". It matches the Rfam family "Bacterial small subunit ribosomal RNA", at positions 227 to 1398 of the family's 1533-position model. The record is from RNAcentral.
GGAAUUGCGUCCUAUCAGCUGGUGGUGAGGUAAUGGCUCACCAAGCUACGACGGGUAGGGGAGUGAGAGCUUGGCCCCCCACAAGACACUGAGACACGGUCCUACAUCUACGGAUGGCAGCAACCAGGAAUAUGCGCAAUGGACGAAAGUCUGACGCAGCGACGCGCGUGUGGGGAUAAGGCCUUCGGGUUGUAAACCACUGUGGAGGGGGAGCAAGAUCUGAGAGUACCCCUCUAGAAAGCACCUGCUAACUACGUGCCAGAAGCCUCGGUAAUACGUAGGGUGCAAGCGUUAUCCGGAUUUAUUGGGCGUAAAGCGUACCGUAGGCGGUUUAUCAAGUAUAUGGUUAAAGACCUCGGCUUAACUGAGGAAAGGCUAUGUAGACUGAUGAACUUGAGGGUUACAGGGAGUGCUGGAAUUCUCGGUGAAGGAGUGAAAUCCGUUGAUAUCGAGAGGAACACCAAUGGCGAAGGCAGGCACUUGGGUAACUCCUGACGCUAAGGGACGAAAGCUAGGGUAGCAAAUGGGAUUAGAGACCCCAGUAGUCCUAGCCGUAAACGAUGGAUACUAGCUGGUCGCACUAGAUGUGGCUGGCGUAAGCUAACGCGUUAAGUAUCCCGCCUGGGAAGUACGGCCGCAAGGCUAAAACUCAAAGGAAUUGACGGGAGAGCGCACAACCGGUGGAGCAUGUGGUUUAAUUCGAUACGAAGCGAAGUACCUUACCUGGGUUUGACAUAUAUCUGCAAAUCCCGUGAAAGCGGGACUCUUUCGAAGGUGAUAUACAGAUGUUGCAUGGCUGUCGUCAGUUCGUGCCGUGAGGCGUCCGCUUAAGUGCGGUAACGAACGCAACCCCUAUCGUGUGUUAAAUAUUCACGCGAGACUGCCCUUGAUAGUAUCAUGGGAGGAAGGAGGGGACGACGUCAAGUCAGCAUGACUCUUACAUCCAGGCUACACACAUCCUACAAUGGGAAGUACAUGGGUUGCCAACCCGCAAGGGGGAGCUAAUCCCACCAACCUUCCCUCAGUUCGAAUUGAGGGCUGCAUUCGCCCUCAUGAGUGAAUCGUAGUAAUCGCAGUCAGCAGACUGCGGUGAAUACGUCUCGCUCUUUGCACACACCGCCGUC